This 478-nucleotide ribosomal RNA is filed under the name uncultured bacterium. Its description in RNAcentral is "partial 16S ribosomal RNA". It matches the Rfam family "Bacterial small subunit ribosomal RNA", at positions 28 to 523 of the family's 1533-position model. The record is from RNAcentral.
GACGAACGCUGGCGGCGUGCUUAACACAUGCAAGUCGAACGGUAAGGCCCUUCGGGGUACACGAGUGGCGAACGGGUGAGUAACACGUGGGUGAUCUGCCCUGCACUUCGGGAUAAGCCUGGGAAACUGGGUCUAAUACCGGAUAGGACUCCGGACUGCAUGGUCUGGGGUGGAAAGCUUUUGCGUGGUGGGAUGGGCCCGCGGCCUAUCAGCUUGUUGGUGGGGUGAUGGCUUACCAAGGCGACGACGGGUAGCCGGCCUGAGAGGGUGACCGGCCACACUGGGACUGAGAUACGGCCCAGACUCCUACGGGAGGCAGCAGUGGGGAAUAUUGCACAAUGGGCGCAAGCCUGAUGCAGCGACGCCGCGUGAGGGAUGACGGCCUUCGGGUUGUAAACCUCUUUCAGCAUCGACGAAGCGAAAGUGACGGUAGGUGCAGAAGAAGGACCGGCCAACUACGUGCCAGCCGCCGCCGUAA